RNAcentral lists this ribosomal RNA (468 nucleotides) under uncultured bacterium. RNAcentral's name for it is "partial 16S ribosomal RNA". It matches the Rfam family "Bacterial small subunit ribosomal RNA", at positions 28 to 507 of the family's 1533-position model. The record is from RNAcentral.
GACGAACGCUGGCGGCGUGCUUAACACAUGCAAGUCGAACGGAAAGGCCCUGCUUUUGUGGGGUGCUCGAGUGGCGAACGGGUGAGUAACACGUGAGUAACCUGCCCUUGACUUUGGGAUAACUUCAGGAAACUGGGGCUAAUACCGGAUAGGAGCUCCUGCUGCAUGGUGGGGGUUGGAAAGUUUCGGCGGUUGGGGAUGGACUCGCGGCUUAUCAGCUUGUUGGUGGGGUAGUGGCUUACCAAGGCUUUGACGGGUAGCCGGCCUGAGAGGGUGACCGGCGACAUUGGGACUGAGAUACGGCGCAGACGCCUACGGGAGGCAGCGGGGGGAAAUAUUGCACAGUGGGCGGAAGCCUGAUGCAGCGACGCCGCGUGCGGGAUGACGGCCUUCGGGUUGUAAACCGCUUUCGGCUGUGACGAAGCGUGAGUGACGGUAAUGGGUAAAGAAGCACCGGCUAACUACGUG